RNAcentral lists this long non-coding RNA (890 nucleotides) under Hordeum vulgare. RNAcentral describes it as "long non-coding RNA (HVUL_LNC012294)". Lineage: Eukaryota; Viridiplantae; Streptophyta; Magnoliopsida; Poales; Poaceae. The record is from RNAcentral.
UGCCAAGUUUCACCUCCAUCCAAGGUGAUUUGAUUCACCAAAUAAUUCAGAAACCCUCCCUGUCCAGAAUCAAGUUAGAGUAACUCUACACUGCAAAGUUUGUCCAUUAGGUGUCAAACUUUGCAGGAAUGCUCAACACCUCUAAUGAUGAGAUCAUGCCAAGAUUUGGAUUUGUGGGGAUUGAUUUGCUAACAUCUUCUCACAAGAAUGCAGAUCUGCCCAUUUGUGGAUAUUUUAAGUUUACAUUGCCAAACUUGUCCAAUGGAGCUCAAAUUUGGUAGGGCCUCCUAAUUAUGCCUAAAACCAAAUCCUGUCAACUUUCAGUGCAAUUGGAGGAGGUUAACUCCCCCAAACCUGCAUCAAACACCUUCUGCCAGAUUUGUAAAACAGCAUCUAGCAACCACAACACUUACUCCCUUCCCUCCAAACUCUUGUCACGGAUGGCCUGUGUCCCUCCUAAACUGCAGACAAGAGACCCAGCAUUGGUUCAAUGAGAGGGAGCCAAAAUCUCCAUUUUAGCUCCUGAACUGGCAGAACCACUUUAACUCUCUCCCCUUGGCCAGUUUACUUCUUCUCGGUUCCUAGCACCCAAAGGGCACCUAACCCAUCUCCCAGACACGGCCAAGGCGCGCUCAUACCGUGGCAUGCCAAAGCUGCGCUCUGGACGCGCUAAGGGCGCACCCGAGCCCCAGCGGACCAGCUCCGGUCGGUUCUCGCCUUCACCUAUUGCCCCUCUUUGACCACACUGACGACUGUAUCCAGGGCAGCGUCGGGCCCCUCUUUCCCCCCUCUCCUCUGCCCCUGGCGACGCGUGCCCGCGCGCGGCCGAAGCGGCCAGAAGGACCUCGCCACCUCGACGCGCCAAGGAGCUGCCCCCGCUCCUCCUAAAG